GCUAUGGGUAUGCGCCUCUAAAUAGGGCUGCAUGAAGGGCAGUGUGUGCGAUGGAGGGGAGAGGAAAGGGCACUGCACAUCCGUGCUGGGAACCCAACGUUCAGCCAAGAUCCUAAGAUCCCUUACCGUGAGCACUCGAGACAUCCUAGCACGAUGGCCCAUUCUGCAGAGUGCAAGGACUGCAAGGAUUCUCUUUCAAUCUUGUUGCUUCUCCUUUCCCGAUUAUCACAGAGAGAGGUGCCGAGCCCAACGGAAAGAUCUACGCAAAAGCGGUGCAGGAAGUCCUUCUGGAGAGAGCUCAUCUCCAGGCUGGAGGGCUUCCUACAACAGCAGGU
RNAcentral lists this long non-coding RNA (335 nucleotides) under Gallus gallus (chicken). RNAcentral's name for it is "lncRNA (ENSGALG00010000314.1)". The record is from RNAcentral. Lineage: Eukaryota; Metazoa; Chordata; Aves; Galliformes; Phasianidae.